AAAAAAAAAAAAAAAAAAUAGCAUGUUAAGAUUGAAUUUGAUCUCGACAUUUCAUUUCUUAACUUUUGCCUCCUACUGUUGUGCUAAGAACAUGCGAUUCAGAAUGACUCAAUUGGUCUGUAAGCAUGAAAUAUGUAUUUCUCUGGGAUUGCUACAGCAUCAUCAUUCCUUUACCGUCUCUUUUUAUGAGUACCAAAAGCAGAACUUUAUCAUCAAUGCGAAACUGAAUUCACCUAGCCAUAAGAUAUUGCACGUAUCAAAAGUAUCUCUCACAUCAAACAGAAAAGACACAGGUAUAAUGGAAGAGGCUUUACUUUCAAUCCUUUUCUGCACCAUCUUAUUUAAAGACUUUCAGCAUCAACGGAUAUCAUUCUAACAGAAAUUCCACAACCAGCCAUCCAUUAUGACAUUAUAUAAGCACUUUCAGGUUUUCAGAGAAACACUACCAUCUGAAAUUUCCCAAUAAAUUCAGAUUGAUAAGAUUAAUAUCACUUAAAUGGCAAAUUGCACAAAAGAAACAU
Molecule: unclassified non-coding RNA, 521 nt
Filed under: Hevea brasiliensis (rubber tree)
Lineage: Eukaryota; Viridiplantae; Streptophyta; Magnoliopsida; Malpighiales; Euphorbiaceae
Source: RNAcentral